AGAGUUUGAUCAUGGCUCAGAUUGAACGCUGGCGGCAUGCCUUACACAUGCAAGUCGAACGGUAACAGGUCUUUCGGGAUGCUGACGAGUGGCGAACGGGUGAGUAAUACAUCGGAACGUGCCCAGUAAUGGGGGAUAGCUCGGCGAAAGCCGGAUUAAUACCGCAUACGCCCUGAGGGGGAAAGUGGGGGACCGCAAGGCCUCACGUUAUUGGAGCGGCCGAUGGCUGAUUAGCUAGUUGGUAGGGUAAAGGCCUACCAAGGCGACGAUCAGUAGCUGGUCUGAGAGGACGAUCAGCCACACUGGGACUGAGACACGGCCCAGACUCCUACGGGAGGCAGCAGUGGGGAAUUUUGGACAAUGGGGGAAACCCUGAUCCAGCAAUGCCGCGUGUGCGAAGAAGGCCUUCGGGUUGUAAAGCACUUUUGUCAGGGAAGAAUCCUUUGGGCUAAUACCCUAGGGGGAUGACGGUACCUGAAGAAUAAGCACCGGCUAACUACGUGCCAGCAGCCGCGGUAUACGUAGGGUGCAGCGUUAAUCGGAAUUACUGGGCGUAAA
This 558-nucleotide ribosomal RNA is filed under the name uncultured Limnobacter sp. RNAcentral describes it as "bacterial SSU rRNA". It matches the Rfam family "Bacterial small subunit ribosomal RNA", at positions 8 to 564 of the family's 1533-position model. The record is from RNAcentral. Lineage: Bacteria; Pseudomonadati; Pseudomonadota; Betaproteobacteria; Burkholderiales; Burkholderiaceae.